Long non-coding RNA from Gallus gallus (chicken), 9961 nucleotides. RefSeq lists it as uncharacterized. Lineage: Eukaryota; Metazoa; Chordata; Aves; Galliformes; Phasianidae. The transcript is spliced from 2 exons. The record is from RefSeq and is a predicted model, not a curated record.
AGCUGCACUACAGGCACAGCCCAAAUGGAAUCACUGCUAUGUGGUACUACUGGCACUGCUUUGGUAUAAUGAUACUUCAAUAAAAGAAUCAAAUAAAUAUAAGUGAUUGAGACAUACACACAUGUAAGAACGGAAUUGGAAUUGCUGGAACCAACCAGCUUUUUUUCUGCACAAGCAAAUGGUUCAUGAAAACAUACUAGUUUCAGAGAUUGCACAAAAUCUCUAAUCUCACUGAGUGCUUAUCUGACACAUUCAGACUGGGAAUCAUGAGGAUCUGCUAUUAAAGUCUUGGAUUUCAACUUCAAUGUAAGCAAAUUUCAAACCUUUCAGCCAAUUCUACGUGUCAGCAAAUGUGACAUCAUUUUGCGCAUUGAAUAGGAUCAGACCUGACAAGACUCAAAGAUUUAAUCCAUCAAGGUAUAUUUCUAUAACAACAUGUCUUGAAAGAAGGUUGCAUGUUUUCAGAAAGAUCAGAUAAACCAAUAUACCAGUGUCAAACACCUGCACAUUCUGGAGAUGAUACAGAGACCUACAUUUAAAAACCAUUCUCCAAGCUCUAUAAUAUGUCUCAGGAAUAAUAACAAUCAUAUGUAAAUAUGAUAUAUGAAAUAUAUAGUAUAUAAUUAAUAUAAAAUAUAUAAUGUAGACGUGUGAUAGAUACAGAUAUUAUAUAUCUAUAUAUAGAUGUCAUGAGCCCUUCCUGUUCAUUUAAGAAGCAUAUUACUAUUCAGUUUAUAAUUGUUCCAGUUCUAUUAAUCACAUUCAGCCCAUUUUUGUAUGGGGACAGAGCACACACAGCUCUCAGGAGAAUGAGGCUGGUGGUUGCUUCACGUGUUGGCUUUGAAGAUUGCAUCCCUUCGUUGUUAACACUGCAUUUAUUUUUUUUACAAGACAUACAAGCCCUCAAAACAGCUAAUUCUGCUCUCCUGGACAAAGCUCCCAUUCGUGUUGGUUGUAUGUACAAUCAUCUUCAUUGUUUUUUGAAGUCUGUAUGCUUAUGGCCUAGUAAGUCAUCUGUUUUACCACUGAUUCCUUUGGAUGUUGAAGAGAGGAAAACAUGAGAAAAACAAUUCUGUAGUUUAUGAUUAAAAAAAUCAAUCAAUCAAUAAUGAAAGCACAGUCAUGAAUAUGAAAGUGAUGAGGAAAUUUAGACAAGGAGUUGUUUAUGUAAUAGGUUCAUGUUGUUACCUGCAGGUGUAGCGCUCCUUGCCCUUGCGCAGGAGGGUCUCAGGCAGAGCACUUGGUGGGGCUCGGAAGUUGAACAUGGAUGGCAUUGACUGGAUCAUCUCAUUGGCCUCUGGCUUCAAGGCACUGAAACUCUCCAGCUUUUCGGCCAUGUUCUCUAUAGCUGACAUCUGCAAUGGAAGAUGGCACAACAGCCGGCAUGGUGAGGACCGCCGUGGCUUUGUGUCUGUGGUGAAAAUGCUAAGCAUAAAGGGCACAGACUUCCAAGGAAACAGACUAAAUAGCAAAUGUAGAGCUGCAGUCACAAAAACUACUGGGCAGAGUAGGCAAUGUGGUGGCUAUGAUGAUGGCUCUCUCAGAGUAGUCCCCAUAACUGCUUCAAUGGGUUGUGUUCCUCUGCAAGACCAGCACACAGCAGAACUGCUCUAAUGGCUACAGGUAUAGCUGCUUCUAUACAAAGUCUAAAUUAGCCAGUGUUCAUUUAAUGUUAUUUUUAAGCCUCGACAUCUACAGAAAUAGAGCUGUGCAGCCACACUCAGUGGGUGUGUAUGAGUGUGCAGCCUAUCUACUGACACCAUUGGCCUCUUUAGACCAAAUCAAUAGAAGAAAUAGAGAACUCAAUAAGAGACGAAUUUCUACUUUCUCUCUCUCUCUUUUUUUUUUAAUUAUGGACUUGCAGAGGAUGAAUAUCUCAAAGGACAUAAAGCACUCCAGCUUAACUAGUAGAUGCAACAAGCAGAGAAGCUCCAUCAGUGCCCCAGCCAAAUCCAAGCAUUCAGUCAAAUCUUCUUGCAGAUCAGAGUGAAAUGCCAUGACAUAAAUCCAUCAGAAAUGAAGCUCUGGUGGGUUUGGUGCUAUUUAUUCAUUCACAUUACCCACUAGAUGCCUAUCAGGUUUUCUUACAACCUCUUAAUAUUCCUAUUCCGCUUUCUGUUGCUUGUAAACCCCACACACUCUGGGAUACUGCCUUUUCCUGUAGCUGUAUUAAGGGGCUUUAAUUUUCAGGGAGGAGCUAUUAAAAAAUUUCUGGAGAUUGUUUCCCUUCAAAGUGUCUGAAAUUGACCAGAAGAAAUGGCUCCAAAACUUCCAACAUUGUCACGUGAAGGGCUGAAGACUGCUGCUGAGCCUCCUGACAGGUAAAAUAGCAGCCUGCCUCCUACUGUCACCAUUAACAAAUGGAAAAAUAAAUAAAUAAACAAUAGAAAUGCAAGGCCUGCACUUAAAAGAGGUGUGCACAGUGGAGGUUCCAUGCCAUGAACAUACAAACUGCUCCAUCAUAAACCACAGCAUUAAUCAAAUGCUAUCUAUCAGAACACCUCUGCAGCCCAUUCUUCAAGGACCACUCCAAUUUUUUUGCUGUUAUUUUAACAGGAAGAACUGCAUGUUUGUCUCUGGACAGGGUCCUGCAGGUGCUGGCUAGCUCUGGCUUUGAUCUUUCUUUUCCCUUUAGCCCACAGCCUGCCCUCUCAUUUCAUGCUCAGACUCCUAAUGCUGAGUACAAAUUGCAAUGUACAGAGUACCACUGCCAAUUUGCCAAAUGUCUUUCAUCAAACACACUGCAAAAAAAAAAAAAUCUCAGAGGGAAGUCAAGAUACAUUUACUUGUCAGGCAACAAAUGGGAAAGCAUUGCGAGGCAGUAGGGGCUGUAAGCUCUGGGGUUUGAUUCAUAAUCACUCAGCUGCUAAAACAUUCUCCACAGAUGCAAGUGGACAGCACAUUUGUCAAUAUGAAGGAUUUUGACAUGUACUGAUCACAGGCAUGAGAUAUGUAAUGAUGAUGCUGCUGGGAGAGGAGGUAAUUCUAUCUCGGCAGAGAGAUGUCAUUAUCAACCCAUAUGACUCAACAUUACCAUAUAUUUAUUUUUAUAGGACUUCAUAUUUUUCUGCGGUAAGAAUUGAUUCUUAAACCUUUUCUAAUAGUUUUUCCGCUGCCUGUAACUCCUUCUAAUUGUUCCCUGCAAGAAAUCAUUUAUCAGUUUUGCAAUUGUGGGAAAUUAAUGGUUUGAAUGAAAAAUGACCUUUGGCCUUCAGGCUGAUUAGCAAUGACAAGACAGUGUAUGGGUUAUGAUAGCACAUAUUUAUAGUGAAGAAUAAGGGCAUCGAGAAGUAUAGUAAAUGUCUUAUUUAUGUAUAUUUAAUAUUCAAGUCAGUUUCAUUAUCUAGUGGUUUUAAAUCAUUUUUGGGUCAUCAUUUCUCACGUACGUGGUUCCCUUCCGUAAUAUAUUAAAGCAACUAUUUUCCCCUUUACAUUUAAAAUGGCUUAGUCAUGCUUAUUUCUUUUUAUUAUCUCCAGGAUUUUGCAGAGCAGAAAUGGAGAAUGAAUCUUCUCUCAUGUACAGUGCUAUAGGUCAGUACCAGCCCCUCUCUGCCACCAGGACUACAUCAGUCCUGAAACAGAUAAUUAUUAAUCCAGAAAGCUUUCCCCGUUCUGCAGAGCUUCUUUAGGAGCAAUCAGUGAGAACCCCUCCUUCAGCUGAAACACAACCCAAGCAGCGUUUACUCCUCCAAAACCCCAAGCUUCCAGAGCAAGCUGCUACAGCAUCAGUCUCAGUAGGGUGCUUUGCUCCAGGGACGGUCCUUGCACACCACCAGGGAUGGAAGCUUUGGGGGAUCUGAGCCCCAGCAGGCACCCAGGGCUGCAGCCAUCCCGCAGUGGGCACAGGGAGGAAGGCAUGACCCCAAGGAGGGGAUUAGCGUAAUUGCCGCGUCCAUGGAGAAAGCCCUCAGAGGAGGCAGGAGAGCAAGGAGGUCCCAUUACAUAUUUUACACUGCAGUUAUGGCCUUACAGACAAGUCAUGUCUGCUCCUAAUCUGAGAUCAGUGAGUGACAGCGUUUUAUAGGGAGCAGUAACUUUUGAUUUACAUAUAGGAGUUGUUGAUUCAAUCUACGUCCAGAUGUCUGGAAAAGGAAGCAGCUUCCCCCCACCUCCCUCCUGCUCCCUGAGAGCCCAUUAACCUCCUACUGACGCAAACUAAUAUGUAGUCACAAUUCCCCAGCUCGGACUCAGAAAUGCAGACAUUACCAUAAUCGGCUAAAACAAGUAUUUAUAAACAUUUCAAUGGGCAAGAUACCAUCAGCAGGGGUCCUGAAUAUUUGUCUUAAAAUUUAUUAACCAACCACAGAGAAAGUGUCAUAAAUAAAGCAAGGUUUGUUGUUGCUGCUUUUUAAGAAUAACCUGAUGAUAUGAAAUAAUCUAGCAGACAAUGUCAUCAAUUACAUGACCUAAUGUUUUACUAACUAGACUCCUUCGACGCUACUAUCAUAAAAACAACUGACUUUAUGGUCACAACUCAUGGGAAAAUAAUUGUUCAAAUGUUUGCUUUCUAUUUUUACUACUGUUAUUUAGGGAAAUCUUGAAAACCCAACUACUGAAGUUCAGAAUUUCUUCCUCCCCGGUUCAAGUCAUGCUGCUCUCUCUAAAAAUUACAACUUGUGAAUUGGUUGUAAUGUAUCUGGCCAUCCAGCCACUUGGCUGAGCUGUGCCGUGCCCAAAGACCUUGCACACGUGGCUGAACUCUAUGGAGGAGCUGUGAGAAACUCCAGCUGAUCUCCAGCUCAGACCCACAAAAACUCUACUUGGGUUAAUGUUGUUGGUGAGCACUUGGCUAAUCUAACAGAAUGGAUCAUGCCUUAAAAUACACCCUGUAAAAUAAAAGCUUUGUUAAUGUACUCAUUAAAUUUCUUAUCAUUUAUUUUUAAAUUACUUUAAUUACUUAACAAUUAUUCUCCACACAAGUAUUGCAAAUAAGAUUUGAAUCUCAUUAGAGAGUUUCUUUAUAGCAACCUUCUCUUGAUGGGACCAGCGGGGAAUGAAAAAGUUCACAGACUAAAUAAAUUGUGGUCCCACUCAAGAGAGGAUGCUCCCCAUUGAGUCAGACUACAGCAUUCCUGCCAAACAAUGAGAAACUAUGUGAAAUAAUCUUGAAAUAUGUGGCACAGGCAACUGUGAGUUGAGACAGAAAGGCAUAUGUGACGUUCACAUUUCUCAAGAUGAAGAUUCACUCAUGAAUCAGCAUCCUUGCAAGGCACUUUAUGCCUUACAUACUUACUGCUGCUGCAGUUGCUCAAGCACUAGCAUGGCCUGGAGAUGCACACUCACACAACAAAAAAAGGACGAAGGAAAUCCAAAGACCAAGCCAAAGCCAAAGAAGGUAGACAGAAGAAACAGGCUGCACUGGGGUUUUCAGCUUCCCAAAUUUCCCCAAACAGAGCAUCUCUGAGAUGCAGGGUGUACAGGCCAAAUCACAUCUCAGCACGGGCUCUGGAUAUGGCUGCACUGAACUGCUGCAAAGAGGAUGCUUAGGAACUCCUCUUGUGCGCUCCAAGCCUGGCACCUGACCCGAAGUCCUAGGGGCUUGUCAUCUGCUUGUGUAGGACUAGUGAUGGAAAAUCCCUGCCAGCUUUCCCUUUGGUUGUUUUACUGGUUUUCACUAAGGCCAGCAUCGCUGCAACGGGGUUUUGGGUACAGACAUUCCCACAGCUCCAGUUACCUCUCUGUGACUGAGCUCAGUUGGGAUCUGUGCUCAGGAUCUUAGACUCAGGAUUAUAAAAACUAACAUUUUGAAAAGACAAAAUGGGCAUCUCAAGCCACAUGUGCACAAAGCAAAGCUCCAUCGCUGCCGUGGAGGAGAGCAGGGUGCAGACAUCCCUGGGACCCAUGCAUGCAGGCUGGAGCACAUUGCCAUCUCUGUUUGGGAAAUCCUGCCUUCACCUUGUGCAAUCAGCCCACGUCCCAGCGUGAGCCAUAAGCAAGCAUGAGUCAGUCCCAGCUCUUCCCUUCGAGACCCACAGCCAUGAGGUUGGGAAAAAUCUGGGACAAGUAUUUAUGGGUUCAGCGAUAGAGGAGCAAAACUCAGUGCUAUUUCACUUGCAUCUGCAAAAGCAGUUGCUGUGGCUCUUUUUUUUUUUUUCUUUUUCAAGAGCAAUUUAGAUGUAUUAAAAAUAAGUUUUAUAAAAAUAGAAGAGUCUGCUUGAAUGUAUCCCAGUUACUAAGAGCAGAAGUUCUGUUCACAUGAGGGGGACUCUGUGUAACUACCCGCACAGGACAAGUUCGAUCUCAGCACUGCAAAUAAAUGGGUGUUUUAUUUGGGCUUGUAGAAUAGCAAUUAAACUCCAAACUUCAAAGCUAUUGAAGUGACUGACUCCCACUGAAGUCAAUACGAGAUACAAAGUGAAGUCCUCCAAGGCUCUGUGUUUUAAUAUCUAGUACAUACAUUAAAUAUUUCUAACUCUUGCAAGCUAACAAGAUUUCAGCCUGAAAAUUGUCAUUAUAAUCUCUAAAGGAAACAGCUUGGAACAUUUUCAGUUCAAUAUAAACAAAGAGCGCAUUCUGAAACUCUCACUUAGGUAAAGCUCCCAUUGCCAUCACCAAAUAAAAGCUGCAGGAUUAGAUCAGUGAAAGUAAAGCCAAUUGGACAUCACACGGCACUUACCCGCUACAGCGCUCUGUGGGAAAGUGUGGUGUGCUCUGUAAUUGUGUGGUAAGUUAUCCUUCAUAUUAUAUUUUUCUUAUGCAAUUUAUUUCACAGUGAUUAAAUCAAAAAUAUAAGCAUGAACUUACCCAAAUUCUUUGAUCAGGCAAUUGGAACUGGGAGCAAAAUUGAAACAAAAACAACACAUUAUUCCUGCGCUGGAAUCCUCAUUGCAAUCAAACCACUAAUUAAGAUCUUAUUUAAAGAUACUAAUUAAGACAUUAUCCUGAACGAUUUGUUACACUGGGGCAUUCUCUCUCUAAAAAGGCAAUCCUUGUUACAGCAAAUUAUUGUGAACACACAGUUAUCUGCCCCAGUCUCUCCCAGCUUUGGGGUCACCGGCACUGGGAGGGUUCUGCCCAGGCAGGGACAGGAUAAGGACAGCAGGGUUUAAAACUUCCAUCUCUACUCCAAAGCCUAUUUUAAUGAUUAUUAAAUAAUCAUCCUAUUAUUAUCAUCCUGCUCCUAUUAUCCAGUUUAAAGAAUGAAGUUAAACUUCUGGUUAAACUCAGUUCAAUCAAACUAUGUAAGAAACAAAUUCACCUCCAGAAAUACACAUUUGUAGGACACGAAUGAUGAAAAAUAUUUUGUUUCUAUCUUACAGAGACAGAACCUGCCAGCAGAAAAUGAAAAGUUACCAGGCAGUCCACACCUGUACUUUACAGGGGUGAAUGGAGCUGUAAAACAAAAGCAGCUUUUCUGCAAGGCAUUCCCCAGCCCACUAUAAACACCGAGCCGAGCUCUGCUUUUGCAAACAGGAGGCUCCCUUUUAUUAAAGUCAGCCAGAAAGCAGAUCUGGACAUUUGCUUUUUUGACAUGACAUGAUGGUGAUUUAGUUUUCUUUUACAGUGUAUUAAGAGUGCACAUAACGCUCAGGGCUUUUGCAUCCACCAAUCUCCCAAGAGGUUACCCUAGCAGACAGGUAACUGGUAACACGAAAGCCACUCUUUAACACGGAAUUAUUUUCUAUUGCAAAUGAGAAAUGAGGAGGAAUGGGCCAAGAGGUGCAACGCAGCCAUCUGUGCACACAACGGGAGAACCCUGCAGUGGCACUCAGCAGUGGAAGCCCAUCCCUGCUGGCCCCAUGGCACAGAGAUGGCCCCCUGACACGGUGACAACACUGGCACUGUCCUCAUGCACCAACACAGUGGGGCAGGUCCUGCCCACUGACAGCAGAGCACCCACUGCUGUUGCCAUUUCACCACGUUAACUUCUCCCAGCACCCUACUGACCCUCCUCCAGGUCCCCUUGGCUACAUAAAGCAGCACCCAACUCCUUCCCACCCCAAACAGCCUCCUAGCAGGGCAGUUUGGCACAAGCAGCCUCCUUCCAUGCCACCAACCACUGGCAUCAUCACACCACCAUGUGCUGAAAUUCACAGAGUCCCUCAAACCCAGUUUAACUGAACAACACAGGUGCACACCUGAAGAUCCAUCAAGGACUCAGCAAAAUUCUAUCAUUUCUUCCACCUUAUAUAUCUUCAUUUAAAUAAUUUGCCAUUCAUUACAACCAUUUAUCUGCUCUAACAGGAUCACUCAUUUGAUGGAGAGGAAUCAGCUCAGUCUUACACCAGGGAACACAAGGAGGAUUCAGGCCCCAUUUGGGCACUGGCGCAUUAGUCCUGUCUGCUACAAAAUGGGAAUUUUCACUUGUCGCUUUGCAACUCUGGCAAAAAACAUAACUCAGCACGAGGUGCUGAGCUGCUAUUAAAUCUUGUACAUAAAUUCUCCACAAUUUUAAUACUUAAUAGACCCUUCACUUCCUACAGGCACUGGAACUGAAAAGGGCUGUUUUGCUGCACUCUCCUCUCAUGGAAGAGCAUUACGACUGCAUACCUGUGACUAUAUAUGCCAUCAUCUGUCCUUCCCAGCUCUCCAGAAGUCCCAUAUUUCAGAACAUGUUCCAUACAACUUAAGACAUUAUAACUAUUGUUCUCAUUGAAGGAAAAAAAAAAAGACUCAUAAAUUGUUGUUAUUCAGCAAAUAAAAAGCAUGAUUAAGGCCUAUUAAUGAGGCAGCAGCUCUAGUAUAGCAUGGCUUCGGGCAUGAAGGCAAAGGGAUCCUACAAGAUCACUGCAAGUGACUACUGCCUAAAAGAGAUGGUGUGUUUGCAUUAGGAGGCCUGAAUGCACUGGGUAGAAGGUGUUAUCUCCUUUCUUGGAUUCCUUCAAUACUGACAAAAACAACAGAUCUUACAAGAGCAGGCAAAUAGCUGGAAGCCCUCCGCUUUCUUGCCCAGCCUUGAAUCUACAUCAACUCCCUGGAGGUAAUAUGGACUCCACCACAACGGCCCUGAAGAAGACAGGGCAGCUGCAAGUCCUGGUGGUUAUGUUCUGGUUUUGGAAGAACACAGUUCUCAAACAUGCAUGUAGUUUGAAUCUGGCUUCCUCUCUAAUCAAAACAUGUUGUUUCAUCUGCAAAACAUCAAGAAGCUCAGAACAAUGCUUACGCUUUUCCACCACAAUGGCGAAGCAAAAACUUUGUGCUUUAGGAAAUCCAAAAAUGACUAAGGCUGCAUUCAUUUAUCUGCACCUGCUUUGAAGCAUCAACAGGCUUGUUUACAACACUGAAAUUCCCAAAAUACUUACUUGUGGAUGAAACAAGAAUCCCGGGGAAGGUCUCAAGUAUUUCUCUUUUAAAGCUUCAAGUGGGUCAGUUAACUUUCUUUUCUCUACUCUGCAAAUGUUAAAAUUAGAUUUGCUUAUGAUGAAUCAGUCUCAGACAUUAAUAAUUAUACAGCUACUCAUGUUUAAAAUGUUCAGUUACAUAGCAGGCAAUUUGUUUCUCGGAGGUAAUGGCCAAAGAGAAGAGUACGUCAGCUCCCAGUUCCUGCACACGGCCCAUUGCUAUGGUGGGGGCUGUGAAUUGCCAUUAAAGGCAAUGGUGCUAUUUACAGAGGAAGUAAUUCCGCUUCAAAAUACCAGUAAUUAUGACAGUAAGAACCAGUGACUAAGUACUGUGGACUUUCAUGAAGAAAUAAGGCAACCAAGCGUGUUCUUCAGUUGGGAGAGUAGAACUGAAGGCAACAGGAGCUCUGAGCUGACGUGCUGCCCAUGCAAGACCUUGCUGCGACCAGUGAUCCUGCUGUCCUAAUGCAGGUGUAACUCAUAGCAAAGGAAGGCCCGGUAACAACCUCAUGCUAUGGUGCCACAGUUUCUAUGGAUCAUGUUAGUUUGUAGCACAGGACCAUGAAACACUUCGGGCAUUUAAAGACACAAAGAGAAACUAUGGUCCAAUACAGAUGUCAAACUGGCAUAAGUAGAAUCAUCUCAAUAAACAACAUCUAAUUACAUUUCUUCAAAAUCAA